RNAcentral lists this ribosomal RNA (856 nucleotides) under uncultured bacterium. Its description in RNAcentral is "bacterial SSU rRNA". It matches the Rfam family "Bacterial small subunit ribosomal RNA", at positions 60 to 914 of the family's 1533-position model. The record is from RNAcentral.
AGUCGAACGGCAGCGCGGGGCAACCUGGCGGCGAGUGGCGAACGGGUGAGUAAUAUAUCGGAACGUACCCAGAAGUGGGGGAUAACGUAGCGAAAGUUACGCUAAUACCGCAUACGAUCUACGGAUGAAAGUGGGGGACCUUCGGGCCUCAUGCCUUUGGAGCGGCCGAUAUCCGAUUAGCUAGUUGGUGAGGUAAAGGCUCACCAAGGCGACGAUCAGUAGCUGGUCUGAGAGGACGACCAGCCACACUGGGACUGAGACACGGCCCAGACUCCUACGGGAGGCAGCAGUGGGGAAUUUUGGACAAUGGGCGCAAGCCUGAUCCAGCAAUGCCGCGUGAGUGAAGAAGGCCUUCGGGUUGUAAAGCUCUUUUGUCAGGGAAGAAACGGCCUGGGUUAAUACCUUGGGCUAAUGACGGUACCUGAAGAAUAAGCACCGGCUAACUACGUGCCAGCAGCCGCGGUAAUACGUAGGGUGCAAGCGUUAAUCGGAAUUACUGGGCGUAAAGCGUGCGCAGGCGGUUUUGUAAGUCUGUCGUGAAAGCCCCGGGCUUAACCUGGGAAUUGCGAUGGAGACUGCAAGGCUUGAAUCUGGCAGAGGGGGGUAGAAUUCCACGUGUAGCAGUGAAAUGCGUAGAGAUGUGGAGGAACACCGAUGGCGAAGGCAGCCCCCUGGGUCAAGAUUGACGCCCAUGCACGAAAGCGUGGGGAGCAAACAGGAUUAGAUACCCUGGUAGUCCACGCCCUAAACGAUGUCUACUAGUUGUCGGGUUUUAAUUAACUUGGUAACGCAGCUAACGCGUGAAGUAGACCGCCUGGGGAGUACGGUCGCAAGAUUAAAACUCAAAGGAAUUGAC